GACGAACGCUGGCGGCGUGCCUAAUACAUGCAAGUUGAGCGAUGAAGGUUGGUGCUUGCACCAAUUUGAAGAGCAGCGAACGGGUGAGUAACGCGUGGGGAAUCUGCCUUUGAGCGGGGGACAACAUUUGGAAACGAAUGCUAAUACCGCAUAACAACUUUAAACAUAAGUUUUAAGUUUGAAAGAUGCAAUUGCAUCACUCAAAGAUGAUCCCGCGUUGUAUUAGCUAGUUGGUGAGGUAAAGGCUCACCAAGGCGAUGAUACAUAGCCGACCUGAGAGGGGGAUCGGCCACAUUGGGACGGAGACACGGCCCAAACUCCUACGGGAGGCAGCAGUAGGGAAUCUUCGGCAAUGGACGAAAGUCUGACCGAGCAACGCCGCGUGAGUGAAGAAGGUUUUCGGAUCGUAAAACUCUGUUGGUAGAGAAGAACGUUGGUGAGAGUGGAAAGCUCAUCAAGUGACGGUAACUACCCAGAAAGGGACGGCUAACUACGUG
This 497-nucleotide ribosomal RNA is filed under the name uncultured bacterium. RNAcentral describes it as "partial 16S ribosomal RNA". It matches the Rfam family "Bacterial small subunit ribosomal RNA", at positions 28 to 507 of the family's 1533-position model. The record is from RNAcentral.